CCGAGGUUCCUGUCCUUGGAGUUUCCGGGGUUCCCAUCUCCAGAGCACUACCAACAGGGUUGACGUGGUGUUCCUGCGGGUGCAUACUCCUGGCCGGCGAGGGUGGAGCACCUUCUUGUUGUUCGGAGGGCAUCCAAGCAGCGGAGCCAUCGGCAAAGUGAGUCGGCCUCCUAUUACGCCCACGUCCACUCCCUCGUGCCAUAUCAACCUACACAAGUUACUUUUAACAUUUUAA
RNAcentral lists this long non-coding RNA (235 nucleotides) under Phoenix dactylifera (date palm). RNAcentral describes it as "long non-coding RNA (PDAC_LNC006782)". The record is from RNAcentral. Lineage: Eukaryota; Viridiplantae; Streptophyta; Magnoliopsida; Arecales; Arecaceae.